Molecule: long non-coding RNA, 757 nt
Organism: Lolium rigidum
Lineage: Eukaryota; Viridiplantae; Streptophyta; Magnoliopsida; Poales; Poaceae
Exons: 3
Source: RefSeq, a predicted model, not a curated record
UUAGUUUUUUAUCAACAUGUAUGCUCUUUAGAAAUUCUCAGUGGCAGAUCUAACAGAGCUAAUUGGUCUUUACUGGAGUAUAUACCACUGAUCCGAAACUGUAAUACUAUUGAACAUAAUAGGAAUUAAAGACGGUUCUUUGAACUGUUGUGCCAUAAACUAAAUCUCAAGAAGUAUUCUGAAUGCCAGAAGUUGGAACAAAUUAGAAGAAUAAUGUUGUCACACGGGAACGAUCAUGUGGCACAAAAACUUCAUUUGAAUUAUUAUUACCACCAUACCGAAGAAUUGAACAUAGCAGCACAUAUGAAAAAUCUUCACACUAUUUGUGAUAUUUAAUCUACACCCACUUGAUACCCUCCCUAAUGAUUCCUUUGAAGAUACCCUUUCUAAUGAUGCAAGACAUGAUUUCUUAGAGAACUAUCUCCAUCUCCCUUGUAGGUUUAUCCACAACUGGUGGCAUGUCGAAGUCUGUUACUUUGGAAUGUGAAUCCCCUAAUAGCAAAGCUCUGGAGGUAUAUGACCAAAACAUCAUGAAGGAUCUCGAUAGAAGUGAUUGUGAGGCAGGAAAAGUUCAGGUCCAGCCAAGGAGAGGCUUAAAACAUUGCUAGAUGAGCUUAAGAAUGAGUCCAUUUGGCAUGCGGAAUGGCUCCUUGAUUUACUUAUAUUAUGGGCAUUAUCGUGCAAACUCCGAAUCUCUUGACCUGACCGGCCAAGUUCGGCGCAUAUACCUGCGGGGGAGACUUGGAGCUCCACACAG